RNAcentral lists this ribosomal RNA (241 nucleotides) under uncultured bacterium. Its description in RNAcentral is "partial 16S ribosomal RNA". It matches the Rfam family "Bacterial small subunit ribosomal RNA", at positions 28 to 263 of the family's 1533-position model. The record is from RNAcentral.
GACGAACGCUGGCGGCGUGCCUAACACAUGCAAGUCAGGGAGAAAAGGGUAGCAAUAUCCUGAGUAAACCGGCGAACGGGUGAGUAACACGUAGGCAACUUACCUUGAGAACGGGAAUAACCCCGGGAAACCGGGGCUAAUACCCGAUGUUAUUCCGUUGUAGCAUUGCAAUGGAAUAAAAAGCCCGCAAGGGCGUCACAAGAUAGGCCUGCGUCCCAUUAGAUAGUUGGCGGGGUAACAC